CUGAUCCUCCUGCUUCAGCCUCCUGAGUAGCUGGGACUACAGGUGGGGAAACCAAGGCAUGGGGGAGGUGAACUAACUUGCCACACAGCUGAUAAAUACUAGAGCUGGUGAAGAAGGAGGCCGUCAGGGAAGGCUUCUGGGGAAGGUGCUGCACCUGUGCCAGGCCUGGAGCAGGUGAUAUCAAUAUGGAAGAAAGGGGAAGGCAUCACGCUUAGCUGGGGCAUGGUUUGUACUGGCUACAUGUCUCUUUGGAGUCCUGUUGCCAACCUGCCCACACUGGGCUCAGCAGCCCCAGGGAACUCUGGGCCUGCCCUGGCCUCCACCUGCCACACUGCCUUAGUGAACAUUCCCUCAGCCUGGCACAAAGCAGGAGGUUUUGGGUAGUUGCUGGACCCUUGGGACUUGAUGUUUACACCUGCUCACAGGUGGAUGCUGCUUCAACAACCACUCCUGAUUUCUUUUGAUACUUCUCUUGCUGAAAAUAGUUGAAUUACAAAAACAAUGCACAGUCAUGAUAGAAAAUGCGCAAUCAUUAUGCACGGAGUGGGAAGACAACCAGAACCGACUCCUGCUGCUUUUUCAAGUUGGAGGAGAUGACUCUCAAAAGGUUUCUUGAUGAAAUUUCCAACAUAAAAGACAAGAUCUUAUUGCUGGAAGAAGUGGAUUUUGUGAGGGAGGGCCUCAUACUCUGCAUAUGAAAACAAAGAACCUGAGGAUUUUGUUGUGUCCUCUUGGUGGCAGAAAGCAUGAUCCCGUUAAUCUGGAAGAUUUGAGGAUACUGAGAUGGCAGAAAUAUGGGCUACAAACAUAAACAAAUGGAAGAAAAUACCCCCUCUCCACCCAUCAAGAAGAAAGAGUAACUCCAAACAUUUUGAUCUGCAUGGAAGCCCUGCCCUUUGAAGUCGCUCAUGGACCCAGACUGAUAGAGGAUCUGUCUCAGCACAUGCUUCAAGAUUCUCAUACGUACAGAAAACAGAGAACAUGGUUAACCCUGAGCUGGCUCCUAAAGCUUCUUCCCAGAAGAUACACACACCACUUAGCCAAAGUAAAUCACAUAGGAUUCCUAGUACAAUGGUGAAGUGAUGAUAGCAGGUAUUCUACUGUGUUCCCUGUUGCAGAGAAGCUUUUAAGUUUUCACCAUUAAAUAACUUUGAAGAUAUUCCAUUGUCUCUGGCUUCUACAGUUUCCACUGAUAAGUUACCUGGCAGCCUCAUUGUUGUUGUUCCAGUCAAGGUAAUCUCUCGAUUCUUUACUGUUUUUGAUAUUGUUUCUUUGUCAUUUUUUAAAAAUAAUUUACUAUUAUUUGCCUGAAUGUGGUAUUUAUUCAGCGUGGGUUUCACAAUGUGUCCUGAAUCUGGGGCUUUGUCUUUUGUCAGUUUUAGAAAUUCUUCAUCCACUAUCUCUUUAGAUACUGCUUUUUCAAAUUUUCUCCCCUGUCCUUCCAGGAUUCUGUUUACACAUACGUUAGACCUUAGCACUGUAUUCUGUAUGUCUUUUAUGUUCAUAUCUGUAUUUUCAAUCCCUUUGCCUCUCCAUGAAUCUGGUUAUUCAUUGUGGAUAUUUUCU
RNAcentral lists this long non-coding RNA (1566 nucleotides) under Homo sapiens (human). Its description in RNAcentral is "HSALNT0361274". The record is from RNAcentral. Lineage: Eukaryota; Metazoa; Chordata; Mammalia; Primates; Hominidae.